GAUGAACGCUAGCGAUAGGCCUAACACAUGCAAGUCGAGGGGCAUCACAUGAAGUAGCAAUACGGAUGGUGGCGACCGGCGCACGGGUGAGUAACACGUAUGCAACCUGCCUUCAACAAGGGGAUAACCCGUUGAAAGACGGACUAAUACCCUAUAACACAGGGGUCCCGCAUGGGAAUAUUUGUUAAAGGACAACCGGUUGAAGAUGGGCAUGCGUUCCAUUAGCUGGUUGGUGAGGUAACGGCUCACCAAGGCAACGAUGGAUAGGGGAACUGAGAGGUUUAUCCCCCACACUGGUACUGAGACACGGACCAGACUCCUACGGGAGGCAGCAGUGAGGAAUAUUGGUCAAUGGACGCAAGUCUGAACCAGCCACGUCGCGUGAAGGAAGACGGCCCUACGGGUUGUAAAACUUCUUUUAUACGGGAAUAAAGUGCCCCACGCGUGGGGUUUUGCAUGUACCGUAUGAAUAAGGAUCGGCUAACUCCGUGCCAGCAGCC
RNAcentral lists this ribosomal RNA (500 nucleotides) under uncultured bacterium. Its description in RNAcentral is "bacterial SSU rRNA". It matches the Rfam family "Bacterial small subunit ribosomal RNA", at positions 28 to 516 of the family's 1533-position model. The record is from RNAcentral.